GGAAAAUAAGUCAUCUUUUUGAAAACUAGACCAUCGACUCAUGUCUUCCUUUUUUUUGUAGGAACGAUGAGAGGGAGACCUUCUGUAGAACGUACUGAAAGACAUGAGGCCCAAAAUCGUCCGACAAGGGCCGAGUUUACCAAAAUCUUCUAAGCUAUCCAAGGAUUGACCGCAACUGUAGGACAGAACCAAGCCAACCCUUGUCAACACCCUUUCUUAGAAUACCAACCAGUUGAAAGGUCUAUCUCUCAAAACAUAACGGAAUUAGGAAGCUUAACUUGCCACACGUCGAGGGUGGCCCUGAUCCUUUAGUAGCUGAAGCUUGGAUCCUGCAGAUAUAGAAGUUUUUCUCUAUCCUAGACCUAAUCGAGGAACAGAAAUCCCCCCUAGUAGCCUUUUUGCUAACCAAUGAAGCAGAACACUGGUAAUGACUUAAGAAGGAAAUCCUACCUACCCCUACCACUUCGAAAGUUUUCAUGAACGCGU
RNAcentral lists this long non-coding RNA (486 nucleotides) under Carica papaya (papaya). RNAcentral describes it as "long non-coding RNA (CPAP_LNC000258)". The record is from RNAcentral. Lineage: Eukaryota; Viridiplantae; Streptophyta; Magnoliopsida; Brassicales; Caricaceae.